UCGGGAAUUUUGGGCAAUGGGGGAAACCCUGGCCCAGCAACGCCGCGUGAAGGAUGAAGUAUUUCGGUAUGUAAACUUCGAAAGAAUAGGAAGAAUAAAUGACGGUACUAUUUAUAAGGUCCGGCUAACUACGUGCCAGCAGCCGCGGUAAUACGUAGGGACCAAGCGUUGUUCGGAUUUACUGGGCGUAAAGGGCGCGUAGGCGGCAUGACAAGUCACUUGUGAAAUCUCUGGGCUUAACCCAGAACGGCCAAGUGAUACUGUCGCGCUAGAGUGCAGAAGGGGCAAUCGGAAUUCUUGGUGUAGCGGUGAAAUGCGUAGAUAUCAAGAGGAACACCUGAGGUGAAGACGGGUUGCUGGGCUGACACUGACGCUGAGGCGCGAAAGCCAGGGGAGCAAACGGGAUUAGAUACCCUUGUAGUCCCUGAGCGGGCUGGCAAGGCGCAU
Molecule: ribosomal RNA, 447 nt
Filed under: uncultured bacterium
Lineage: Bacteria
Description: bacterial SSU rRNA
Rfam family: Bacterial small subunit ribosomal RNA
Source: RNAcentral